Molecule: ribosomal RNA, 200 nt
Filed under: uncultured bacterium
Lineage: Bacteria
Description: partial 16S ribosomal RNA
Rfam family: Bacterial small subunit ribosomal RNA
Source: RNAcentral
AGAGUUGAUCCUGGCUCAGGACGAACGCUGGCGGCAGGCCUAACACAUGCAAGUCGAGCGCUCGUAGCAAUACGGGAGCGGCAGACGGGAGAGUAACACGUGGGAACGUACCCUUCGGUUCGGAAUAACCCAGGGAAGCUUGGGCUAAUACCGGAUACGUCCGAAAGGAGAAAGAUUUAUCGCCGGAGGAUCGGCCCGCG